CAAUAGCGUAUAUUUAAGUUGUUGCAGUUAAAAAGCUCGUAGUUGGAUUUUGGGUCGGGGGCACCGGUCCGCCGUUCCGGUGUGCACUGGUGGCCCCUUCCUUUCUGCCGGGGACGUGCGUCGCACUUAAUUGGGUGGCGUUCGGAGUCGGCGUUGUUACUUUGAAAAAAUUAGAGUGUUCAAAGCAAGCCAUCGCUCUGAAUACAUUAGCAUGGAAUAACAUGGUAGGACUCCGGUCUUAUUUUGUUGGUUUCCGAGACUGGAGUAAUGAUUAAGAGGGACAGUCGGGGGCAUCCGUAUUUCAUUGUCAGAGGUGAAAUUCUUGGAUUUAUGAAAGACGAACUUCUGCGAAAGCAUUUGCCAAGGAUGUUUUCAUUAA
RNAcentral lists this ribosomal RNA (379 nucleotides) under uncultured eukaryote. RNAcentral's name for it is "partial 18S ribosomal RNA". It matches the Rfam family "Eukaryotic small subunit ribosomal RNA", at positions 592 to 976 of the family's 1831-position model. The record is from RNAcentral.